This 492-nucleotide ribosomal RNA is filed under the name uncultured bacterium. RNAcentral describes it as "partial 16S ribosomal RNA". It matches the Rfam family "Bacterial small subunit ribosomal RNA", at positions 29 to 507 of the family's 1533-position model. The record is from RNAcentral.
AGUGAACGCUGGCGGUAGGCCUAACACAUGCAAGUCGAACGGCAGCACAGUAAGAGCUUGCUCUUACGGGUGGCGAGUGGCGGACGGGUGAGGAAUACAUCGGAAUCUACUUUUUCGUGGGGGAUAACGUAGGUAAACUUACGCUAAUACCGCAUACGACCUACGGGUGAAAGCAGGGGAUCUUCGGACCUUGCGCGAUUGAAUGAGCCGAUGUCGGAUUAGCUAGUUGGCGGGGUAAAGGCCCACCAAGGCGACGAUCCGUAGCUGGUCUGAGAGGAUGGUCAGCCACACUGGAACUGGGACACGGUCCAGACUCCUACGGGAGGCAGCAGUGGGGAAUAUUGGACAAUGGGCGCAAGCCUGAUCCAGCCAUACCGCGUGGGUGAAGAAGGCCUUCGGGUUGUAAAGCCCUUUUGUUGGGAAAGAAAAGCAGCAGGUUAAUACCCCGCUGUUCUGACGGUACCCAAAGAAUAAGCACCGGCUAACUUCGUG